Long non-coding RNA from Sus scrofa (pig), 9487 nucleotides. RefSeq lists it as uncharacterized. NCBI's taxonomy places the organism in Eukaryota, Metazoa, Chordata, Mammalia, Artiodactyla, Suidae. The record is from RefSeq and is a predicted model, not a curated record.
AAAUAUGUAAAUAGGAGGUUUCUUUCAAAACGGAAAACGUGUGUAUCUAUACAUCUAGACCUGGCAGCGCCACACACCACUCAAGGGUUAACAUUGCACAAGGGAAGAGUUCUUGCGCCAUCUACUGGCCAUCAUAAGCCUCCCGCUUCUCUUUCAUAUCUUAAAAGGUACCCUAUUUCCCUCAUCCCAAGGUGUAGGGGAGCUUCGUCCGGAGACCAGAUAGUUUUGCUCUAGUAUGCCAAUUUCCUAAUCUUUUUUGGUUGGUCCUGGCCCAGAUCUUACAACUGACGAGUUCCUUAGACUAGAUGCCGGAUUCAAGAUCUGACCUUUUAGGGAAUCUGAUACCAUUUCAGGAAGGGGAGGGCUGCAGCAAUAGCCCUGAAAUAGAUAAUUGCAAAGGCUUCCGUCUUCAUUUGCAUGUCAAAGGGUAUCAGGGGGAUUAGUGUUUAACUAAAGGGCUCGUUUAAGAGGACUGCCCAAUUUGAGUUUGCAGCUCUCCACAUUGCCCACAAUGAUGGCUCCCGUCCCGCACACUACACGAUUACCCUGGCCAGAUUUUGUCCCCGGGCUCAUCGUGGAGCUGCCUGCUCAGGAGAGCAAAGCUAUUGCAUCUGGAGGGAGUUCUGCUCGGGUAAAGAGGCACAGAGCAAGCGUCUAGAGGCGAAUGUGGUGUGUGGGUUCAAUCCGCAGGCAUAGGAUGGAUUCUGAGCUCUCCGGAUUCCAAGGGAGUGGGCGACAAGGUUGGGACUAGACGGAGAUUGGGAGGAUCAACACUGAAAACGUCAUUAGCCUGCUCAGCCACCUUGGUGGCAGCUCUGGCACUGAUUUCAGUCAAGAUGUCAGGGUGUGCUGCUGCUGCUGCUGUUGCCUUUGCUGGAUGAACAAGGAGUUAGAUGCAAACAGGUCCAUGGACUUAAUGAGGACACUGGACAAAAUCCUCCUUACCAAGUGUGCAGAGGUCAGGAGGAAAAGUGACUUGGUCAGGAUCAUCAAGACAAUCACAAUGAUGAAGUACCCUGGAGAGCUCUUCAAAGAGUCUAGAUCAGAAAUGGACAGGUUUUUUAAACUGGAAGGACCAGAUUUCCACUCCUUUACAGUGCCCCCCACCCCCAAUACUUACACAAUGCAGUGAAGCCUGAUCUUAACACAAGGCUUAGUUGGCACUUAGAAGGGAGAAAUAAGCACCUUUUCAAAAAAAUUGUUUUGUAUUAAUCAGGUCCUGAUAUAUAUUGCAUAUACUCCACUGUAGCAUCACAUGGGCAAAAUCACUGAAAAAAUGGUGAAAAUAGAAUGAGUAUGCUGAGGGAAAAAAAAAACAUAAAGACUUCAGAAGAGGUUACCUUUAAUUUGAAAAGAAUUACAUAUAUUUUUUGACAGAGUCAUGAACUUAUUGUUUUCCUUAAUGCAUGUCAUAGAUAUACAGGUUUAUAUGAAGAACUUACUUUGUUCAAAUACAGUAUUUAUUUUGUUAUAGAAGUGUUCCUGCCUGUUAGUGGUGAAUGUCCACUGAUUGUAGAGAUAAACUUUUUAAUUAAAAGGCUCAAAUUCAAAUCUAUGGAUCCGUUGGUGAGGGGACUAGUUAGAGUAAGAUAAAAAUGUUAGUGAUUUAAAAAUAAUGAAGCAGGCCGUUUCCUGUUUGUUCACACUUUUUAUUUGGCAUUUGUUGCCAGGAGAGUAGGGGAAAAAGAAGAGCUCAUUUUCGCAGUUUUCUAGUUAAAUGUCCAUUCUUGGAUGCAUCAUAUCUGACCUCCUCAAUUUCUGAGAAAUAAAACAUUUGAAUUUAAAUGUUGAUUCUAGACUAAGGAGGGAAUGCUAACUCAACUCUAUGUAUUUCCAUUUGCAAUAGCUCCGAUUUGGUUGAGGAGAAAAGAAAGAGAUCUGAUAUUCACAAUAAAGUAACUUUUCUUUAAGCAAUCAUAUUUAAGAAGAUAAAUUAUCAAGUGAAUAAAAGUAUCUGUCCUGCUGUUAAUCAGGAAACAUUGUUGAGAGGAGGAGAUGAGCCUGGUGGAAGUGCUACUAAGUGCGCCUUCCUAGGCAUUCAUUCCUCUCAAGCUCUGACUCCUCUUUCAGUUUAAUUAAUAGUGAGAUUUAACAGGCAUUUCAGUCUUUUUAUGCUUUAACCCCGUUAAGAAAGUCAAAGUCCAAAGUUUCUAUGUCACAUAAGGGUAAUAAUAGUGUAUUUUAAACAAUGAGAGAACAGAAAAGGCUUAAGACUGAAGGCAGUAUCUGUUGUUGUAUCCAAACAAAUCAUACUUCAACUCCAAAAAACCUCUUUUUUGACAUGAGCCCCAUAUAUAAUAAAUUUAGUACAUUAGCAUUCAUUUUUUUAAUCGGUGCCUUCUUAAAUAUAGACAAUAUAAUAUAUAACAUAUAAAUAGUUUAAUAUAAAUGACAUGAGCCCAUUUUCCUGAAAGAGGAGAACCAUGGUAAAUAGUUGGGGGACAUGUGGGUAAUGACCCUAAGAGAAAAGAGAUAAGAAUUGAAAGAAUAUUUAAAGACCUUUCUGUUUUUCUUGAGCUAUAUUCCACUUUCUUGCUUACCCUGGGCCUUCUGUCACUAAACUUGUCUGUACUUAGAAGUGUGGUGGGGGGAAAAAAAAAAAAGUUAAGCAAAAGAUAGUUUUGCUGAACAAACAGGAUAAUGCAGAUCUCUUGUUUUCCUAAAUAAUAAAGCUGUUUUCCUGACAUGAUCUAAGUCUCAAUUCCCAGUGUAGCAGAUCUUUUUAUCAUCAUUUCUUUAGCUCUAAUAGGGUGAUAUUAGCCUGAAAUGCGCUUGAGAAUACAUAAACAUUUAGGGAACAUAAAUCAAAUGAGUGGAUUUCAAAAGAUACCAAAUCAAUCAACAUUACUAUCAAAAUCCAAUGCAUAUUUGAUUUUGUGCCCUGAAGUUAAUCUGCCAAUAAACUCAUUAUCUCCUAAAAUUUUUGACUUUUUUUAUCACCUACAUUUCUGCUCAUCUUCAAAACUGAUUAUCAUUUCUUGACAUAACCGCAUAUAUUCGAAUAUUCAGAGUUCAGUAAACCAUUACCACAGUUAUUUUGCAGUUUGCUAGUUAGUCUCUCAUAUAUUAGGUAGUAUGUAUGAGACCUUCUUUAUAUUCUGUUUCACUUAUCUACUUAAACAUCAGUUUUAUGAAGUUUUGCUGAGAAACCUGAACCUAGCAGUAAAUAAUUCUACAACUGAAACUUAAUUCUGGAAAGGUGCAAGCUUUAAAUAAUAUUUGAUUGUAAUCCCAGAAGCCCUAACCAAGCAAGACACCACCCUUGGGUAGAAGGCAAGUACAUGUCACCUGUGCUUGGAAUUUCCUUUCAUUAGAUAGUGAAGUAGUUUUGCUGAUAAUAAAGAAGAAUUUGUUAAUUUUUUGUAAAUAUAAUUUGUCAGGUUUUUUUCCUAAAUAGUUAUAAACUAGGGGAAAUUAAUAAUAUAACUGUUGGAGGUUUGACAAAUUUGUAGGCCAUAUUCCAUAUAUGUGGAUACAUGUGCUCGUGUCUGAACCAUAUUGAAAAUAUGAAUAUUCAUUACUGUAUAAUUUGACCCAGUGUUUAAUCUUCCCAAAUGAUUACUGACAACUGUUAUUUCAUGGUUUUUCAAAUUUAUCCAGAUUUAACAAAUAUUUAAAUAUUUCCCAGAAUAAGAGUAUAGGAAGCCAAACAAUAUAAGCAUCUUUUCUUCAGAGGAAGAUAACAGUGACCUUGACUUAGAAGGAUCAUUUUGGCCAUAGAAAUAAAGAAAAUCAAUGCAGCUGAUUUUGGUUUGGCUACACAUAAUCCAAUUUGGACUGUAAGUACAAGUAGCUGUCCCAUCUGGACAGGGAUCAAUUUCAUCUUUAUUCUUUGCAUUGCAAGUAUCAUUUUCAUCUCUGUGUUCAUUCAUUUAUUUAAGAAAUCAUUUUGAGCUCCUAUUAUCAGGAAACAAAAACAAGAUUUACACAUUAUUCUCAGGGAGCUUACAAUGUAAUGGAAGGGAUAGAAUAUAUUCUCAAAUAACAAUAAUGAAUGUCGAUAUAGUAUUACCACUUUAAGAGAGAGGCCUAUAAAACACCAAGAUUGUGGGAGAUUAUUUAUAGCUGGGGGGAAAUUGAGAAACUUCAAGGAUAUACCUUUGAGCCCAUUCUAGAAUCAUCUGGGGAUGUUUGGGAGAAAAAUAUCUUGGUAGAGAGGCUAUUUUCCAGAAAUAUUGUUAAGUAAUGUUAGGAACUCUAUAAACAUAUUUAGGAUUUGGUCAAUACGGUUAAGCGAUAAGGACAUGACAAAUGAGGCCAGAAACAUAAAAUUAGCCAAGGAGAAGUGGGACUUGGGAGACAAUACGUAUCCUUGCAAAUAUUUUCUAUAUUUUCUUUCUUUUUAGUAGACUGUAAUGAUUGGUCAGUUCAAGUAAACCCCCAGUGGCACAUUUUUUAGAGCAAAUCAAUGGAUUGCUUCAUUCAAUAAGCAAAUCUAUUUUUUUGUUAUUUUGUAUGCAGUGGUUUAUAAAAAGAGUCAGUUUAUCCUUCCAAGCUGAUUGAAAUCACCAGGCAUUUAUUAUAGACAUACUAAAUAAGGUUGAAGAAUUAUUAAAUAAUGUAUUUUAAUAUUAAUGAAUAUGUAGUGAAUAAAAUACAUAAUAUAUACUACUAAUAUUGAUAAAUAUGGAGUGUUAAUAAGUAGGUAGAUCUGGAUUUGUUUGUCUCUGAUUACUUAUAGUAAUGCUAUGAACAAAUGCUACAUUUUCAAAUGCAUAGAGAAUUUACCCCAUUAUCCAGUAUAUGAAUACUAGUCUGAAUUUUGGAGAUUUCACGUCUAGAAUGGGGAGUGAAUCUAGUGCAUGACAAAAGAUUUCUCUAUAGAUAGAACAGCAACAGCGUCUUUUAGAGGGUUAGGCUAUCCAACAAUUGCAAUGUGGUUAUCAAUUAUUUGCCCAUUUCAGUUUUUUAGAGUGUGUGUCUCUUGGGACAAAAAGACUCUUGAUCCUUCUUUUUCCCGUUUAGCUUUGCCUGUUUCUAAUCAAAACAAAUAAACAAGCAAAACACCAUUAAAGCAAACAAGCAAACAACAAUGAUAAAAUAAUCAGCAAACAACUCUUCUUGAUUAGAAAUCUCAGUGAUCAUAAAGGAGUGGGGGAAGAAAUAUGGUGUGUGAAGGCAAAUUCUUCCUUUCCAAAGGUAAAACAAUAAAAUACAUGCUUUUCUGUGUCUACAGCAGUGUGCAGUAAUGCCUUUUUGAUUAAACAAAACAAAACAAAAUGUAACAAAAACCUGGGAUUGAAAACACCUUUAGGCUUAAAAAACUAUCACCUUAUAAUCACCUCAAUUUUUCAUCUGUAAAAUGGGAAUAACUAUUUACUUCACAGAGCUUUUGCUAACACUCUCAAGAGGUGUGAUGAUGACAGAAGUUACCAUAUAUACCCUUAUCACUCUGUACCUUUUCAUAGUACCUCUAAUGGAUUGAAUAGUGCACCACCCAAAAUGAUACUUCCAAAUCUUGACCCCUGUGAAUAUGAAUGUAACCUUAUUUUUAAAAGGAGUCUUUGCAGAUGUCACCAAGAUAAAUCUCUUGAGAAGAGAUCAUCCUGGAUUUAGGGUGGGACCCUAAAUCCAAAGGCAAAUGUCCAUUGGAAAGAGAGAGAGAGAUAGACAGAGAGACAGACAGACUUGAGACUCUAAGAGAAAUCAAUGCAAAAAAGAAGCAAAAAUUGGAGUGAUUCGGUUUACAAGCCAAGGGAGGCCAAAGAGUGCUGGCAGGCACCAGGGAGAAUGGCAGGGAACAGUUUUUCCCUCAGAACCUCUGAAAGGAAUCUAUCCUGCCAACUUCUUGAUUUCAAACUGUAAGAGCUGUCAUAAGGCAAAAUGUCUGAUCUUGCUUCUCUUUCCACCCCCUUCACGAGCUCUUCUUCCUAUCCCUACAUAUAAGUUUUCAUUAAUAUUCCUUUACUUCAAAAUGCUGAUGCAUUCUUAUAUUGUCACCUCUUUUAGAAUGUUUUACAUAAAUCUCUCAAGCCGCAGCUAGAGCCAUAACUGUGUACACUUUGUUCUUACCCUAACAUCUCAGACACAUUGCAGCUAUUAUUGUACUCAUACUCUUCCAUAUACUCCUCCCUCCCUAAACUUGCUCCCUCUGAUUAAACUUCUCUGUAAUCGCUGCCUUUUGCAUCCCAACUACUCAGAGUCAAAACCUCAUUUUUACACCUCUCUCUUUCUUAUGUCUGUGGUGGAGUCAAACACUAAUAUCUGAAAAUACCUCCUUUACAUUAGACUUCCCACCUUCCUUUCCAUUUUACUGCCAUUCUGUGAGCUCAGGUGCUAACUACAUCAUGGAUGUGUUACUGCAAGGAUCUCCUAGUUACUCACACUCUCCUCAGGCUUGCAGCUUUUACUUCAUUCUGUCAUGCACUCAGUAUGAUCACUUCCUCACUGCACCUACCUUCUCAAACAAAACUUCAUGGCUCUCCAUUAUCAUUAUCUUCAGGAUAAAUUGAUGGUCUCAAAUCUUAUAAUCAAGCCGCUGUUCAUGGAUGUUUCCUCCUUCUAGUGAGCAAAUUCUGAUCAAUGCACACUUUGCAUUCUGCAUCUGAACCUUACUUGGUAUUGGUGUGUAUUUGCAUUCUGCAUCUGAACCUUACUUGGUAUUGCUCACCUGGAUCCUGAUACUUGCUUCUUUUUCAUUCACCUAUCCAAAUUCCUAAUUUCAAUGCUGAGUUCGGGUCUUAUUUUCUCCAAACAUGUUGUAUUUGUCUAUUCCAAUGACUAUAAGCAUAUAUGUAUUAAAUCUAUGUAUAUUAUCUUAUGACAUUUAUACUACUUUUGCUUUGUUAUUUACUAUUCAUGUCUUAAUGUAUCGAAACAUGUUAGGAUUUGUUUAAAGUAUAUCUUUAAAAAGUCCACAAUAAACAUUUUUUUAUACUGUUCACUUUAAUACGUGUUUGAUGAAUGCAUAGAUUAUAACAUAUUGACUACUUAACUCUGAGUUUAAUCUUUGUUUAACUGAUGGAAACUUCGAAUAUGUAUGUGUGUAGGUUAUAUAGACUUAUGAGUGAGAGAGAGGGAGGGAGGGAGGAAGAGAGAGAGGAAGAAGAAGGAAUGCACAUAGUGCAAAGAGCACAGGGAAAGGAAAGAAGGUUUGUGUUCACUAACAUUCAUUAUAAUAAAAGGUUUGAUAACUAAUGCCAGAAAGACUACUCUCUGAUUUCUUCCUUGGCUCUGAGACACUCCAAUUUCCCAUGCAAAAGCAGUUCUAACUGUUUGGCAGAUUGUUUGAGCUGGAAUUAAAUGUGCACAGCUGGUACCAUCUGCUGCAAAUUCUUUAAUUCUUGUUAUCUCUUAAACAGCUUUUGGUUUUGUUUUAUUCAUAAUUCAUUUACGGAGGAUGAGGAAGACCUAUUGAAGUCUUACUAUUGUUAAAUGGGUGUAUUGCUGGUUCUCAGAUUAGUAAAUCAUAGUAAACUCUUGUUGAUCAAUAUCACUAAGUAUCUACUUUUACUGAUGACCAGACUGGUUUGUUAUCUAAAAUCAAGGUCGGCUUUGGGUUGUCAACUAGAUUAAUCUCUUAAGAUUAUGUAUUAUGAUGAUAAUAAUAAUUGAAAUAUUUUUCCUGUGUUGUGCAACUUUAUUUUCUCUUCUCACUCAUUUUAUAGCUGAAAUCUAGAACUUUUGAAUCAUAAUUUCCUAGUCAGUAGACAACAUCAGAAAUCUAGAAGUUGAGACUAUUUCCUCUCUUUCCCUCAUCUCUUUCUUAUUCUGUUUUCUUAAUAGCUCUUAAAUCCCUGUCUCCCUAUGACUCUGGCAAUCCCUGACUUUGUGCAGAUCCUCCACACUUCACAUCCCAGUAAAAUUCAGUGCAUUCUCUACUGAAGACUUAGAGGGGCCUUUCUUAUACAUAAUUCUGAUCAUUAUACUCUUUUGCUUAAAAUUUCCCAAUCUCUAUGUAUUUGCUUCAAGUUGUUUGAAAAACAUGUGCAUUUUGACCAGUUACUGACGCUCCCUUUUCCUGACUAGCUCCCUUACUUCUAUUUCCAUUUUGCCUGGAAAACCCCAGAAUAUACUUCAAAUCAAAAAUUGGGUGGUUUUUUCCCCUAUUUGCAGAAUUACUUUCUUAUUCUUCUUGGUUUGAGCAAAAUGACCUUCUUGUUCUGGUAGGAACUUGUGCAUAUACUCCUACUGGAACAUUUAUUAUAAUAUACUGACAUUUUUUACCUAUUUAGCCUUUGUGUUAAAUUUUGUUGUCCUAAUGAACAGUGUCUUGUUUUUGCUAUUAAACUUCAAAUACUAGCCCACUGCCCUUCAAUAUUAGACAUUUGAUAAAUCAUUGAAUGGAUGAAUGAAUGAUUGGAAAACAAGAUCUGUAGUGAAAUUAGCGGGAAAGAAUUCAAUUCAUUGUAAGUAGAGGUCCCUUAUAAAUGAAGGCUCUCUGGUAAUGGAAACAUGAAUACAUAUUAAAAUACAAUUUUUUCCUCAUUUUAUUUUAAACUUUUAUCAAUUAAUUUCAUCCUAAUAGAUUAAAGGUCUUUAGCACCUUUAAUCAAUGAAAAUAAGGGCAGCCAAGGCAGCUACUUGGGCUACUUGGGUCUAAAUUUAGUUUAGUAUCAACAGAAUUCAUGCGGAUUGGUUCUCUUUACUCACUACUUUGCACAGAAGCAAGCAAUUGGCUUUUCCUUUAGUCUGACAUUUGUCUGAUCUGGCAUGGGUAAUAUAUAGUAUGCUCAUGGCAUCUUGCUCAAAUGCAGGGAAAAAAAUAUGAGGAAGCUUGAUCAGGGCACUAAAUUGUGUAAGUGUCUAUUCUGAGUAUUUAGGAUGACAGAACAUGUAAGGAGAAAAUAUGCAGAAAAAUACAGCAGCUUUUCUGGUAUUGUAGACCGCAUGUUGAAAACCUUACUAUUUAUGACUUUUUGAGGUGCUUGCUGAUAAUUCUGCAAAAUACUAGAGAGGUGUUAUGACAAUAUUACUGUUUCCUGGCAGAUCAUUUUGCAUGUUGAAUGGCUUUCUUUCUGGAAGUUUUCUGUCUUUCUUUGUUGAGUCAGAUUUUUCUGUGCCAUAAACAAGUGAAUUUUUAAGAUUUCAAUGUCCAUCAUAAUGAUCUGAUGUCGUACUGAAUCAAAUGGGAUGGAGCAAUGUCCCUGCAUUUUUAACAUGCUUCUUUACAGCAGAGGUUAAAAGAGGAUACUGAAUUUCACAAAGGUCAGUUUUCUCAGCAAAGGGAAUAUGUACCCCCUUCAGGUCUACCCAUGCAUGCUUUUGGUUAUUUAUUGAAUGGAAAAACAAGUGUAAAAAAACUAAACACAAGGAAAAAAAACCUACUGUUCUAAUUCAUUUAAAUGUACCGAUUAUAUAAAAGCAAAUGUUUCCUCAAUAUAAAGUAAAAUUGUAUCCUUGACAUGCUGUCAUAAUAUCUGGAAACCAUACUAAUCACCUAACACACAGAGAGACCCUGGGGGAGCUGAAGCCGAAAGGGACAGGGGGAAAGAGCAUGCUGUUAACUUAUUGCUGCUCAAAUAAACAGUUUUGCAAUAAUUACUAG